RNAcentral lists this long non-coding RNA (265 nucleotides) under Carica papaya (papaya). RNAcentral describes it as "long non-coding RNA (CPAP_LNC013313)". The record is from RNAcentral. Lineage: Eukaryota; Viridiplantae; Streptophyta; Magnoliopsida; Brassicales; Caricaceae.
UCUCCUUUUUGUUCUUGAAGAUCUUCAAGUCGCUUUGGUUUCUCUAACAUUUCUAAGUUUUAGGCCUCUUUGUCCUCUGAAAGUACUGAAAAACCAAAAACGAAAAUGUCUUAAUAAAUGGAGCAGUUCUAACUGGAACAAGAGUGGGUUGUGAAUUAUUUGGAGGCAGAAAUAUAAAGAGGUGUAGGUUUGAGUUUUGUGUAAGAAAAGAGAGGUAGAUUUAAAGAUUUGGGAAUUCUUGGGGAAUGAUAGAUUUGCAGAUUAC